CCAGGAGCCACCACAGCCCUGUCUGUGACUCUCAGCUCCCGAGGCUGGGCUCUUCCCCAGGGAAGCUGCAUGACCAUGGCCACAUACAGGAGGUAGGAGACAGAGGCCUCCACGGUGGACGAUCGUGGCGUGAAGUCCACGUUGACCACGUUGUCGGUGCUGGGGGAGCGGAUGAAGGCCAGGGACCCGCGGCGCUCUCCCUGUGGUCAGGAAGCAGCCCGGAGACCCUAAAACUCCAUUGGCCUCAUGUCCAGAACUGAAUCAGGUAGAGAACGGAGCAGAGCCCGAUGGGGCACAGAAGCCACACAGCUGAGUGCCAGAGGAUGGAAGUGGGGCCGCCUAUGUGUCCUCAGACCCCACCCGCCUGAUGGCAGGGCCUGGAGAGCAUGAGGUUGUGCAGGAGCACAGGGCAGAGUGGGCUUAUGGCUGGAGUCAGGGUCCCCAGGGCCGGCAGGGGCACGGGUGUGGAGGGAACGUCAGCUCACUGCACUCAGACCUCGCCAGGUGGGCACCCGUGCCGCCUUCAGUGUGCAGGAUGCUCCCAGGGAAGCCCCCGGGGUCAGGUGGGUGCCGCUGUUCCCACUGAAGAUGCGGCCCCCAGUUCACUGCCCACUCGGGGGGGAUUUGAGGGUCAUUGGUUCUGAGGGCCCUCCGCCUGCUCUUUUGCUUCUAAAUCCAGCAUCUUCUGUAUGACCUUUGUCCCGCUCCUGCCACCCCACGAAGACAGACGUGAGGGUCAGGGGAGCCACGGUGCUAACUGCCACUCUGGGCGGGCACAGGCGAGGGCUGUGCAGCACCCGGGCACGUGGGGUCUUCGGAGGGGCUGCUCCCCACACCACUUCCCCUGCCCCUGCCGAGCCCUGCCGUGGGGUGGGGGGGCGCAGGGAGAGAAAGCAGCCGCCCUGGGUGAGAGCCAGGAGGGACACUGGGCAGGCAGAUGCCACCCCAGGUGUGGGGACCCCCGCUACUGAGUGGCCGGGAGGAGCCCACAGGCUCCCCACAUGCAGCUGAGCCCAGGGUUGUGGUCGUGGGUCGUGGGUCAAGGAUGGUGGCUGGUGUGGUUGGGG
Long non-coding RNA from Homo sapiens (human), 1067 nucleotides. Ensembl annotates it as SLC9A3 antisense RNA 1. Its record names the gene SLC9A3-AS1. Lineage: Eukaryota; Metazoa; Chordata; Mammalia; Primates; Hominidae. The record is from Ensembl.